GACGAACGCUGGCGGCGUGCCUAAUACAUGCAAGUAGAACGCUGAAACUUGGUGCUUGCACCGAGCGGAUGAGUUGCGAACGGGUGAGUAACGCGUAGGUAACCUGCCUGGUAGCGGGGGAUAACUAUUGGAAACGAUAGCUAAUACCGCAUAAGAGUAGAUGUUGCAUGACAUUUGCUUAAAAGGUGCAAUUGCACCACUACCAGAUGGACCUGCGUUGUAUUAGCUAGUUGGUGGGGUAACGGCUCACCAAGGCGACGAUACAUAGCCGACCUGAGAGGGUGAUCGGCCACACUGGGACUGAGACACGGCCCAGACUCCUACGGGAGGCAGCAGUAGGGAAUCUUCGGCAAUGGACGGAAGUCUGACCGAGCAACGCCGCGUGAGUGAAGAAGGUUUUCGGAUCGUAAAGCUCUGUUGUAAGAGAAGAACGAGUGUGAGAGUGGAAAGUUCACACUGUGACGGUAGCUUACCAGAAAGGGACGGCUAACUACGUG
This 497-nucleotide ribosomal RNA is filed under the name uncultured bacterium. Its description in RNAcentral is "partial 16S ribosomal RNA". It matches the Rfam family "Bacterial small subunit ribosomal RNA", at positions 28 to 507 of the family's 1533-position model. The record is from RNAcentral.